Schistosoma margrebowiei is the source of this 48-nucleotide non-coding RNA. Lineage: Eukaryota; Metazoa; Platyhelminthes; Trematoda; Strigeidida; Schistosomatidae. The record is from Rfam.
AUCCAGCUGAUGACGAGUCCCAAAUAGGACGAAACCCGCGUCCUGGAU